GUAGGCNGCAACUCGCCUACAUGAAGUCGGAAUCGCUAGUAAUCGCGGAUCAGCAUGCCGCGGUGAAUACGUUCCCGGGCCUUGUACACACCGCCCGUCACACCAUGAGAGUUUGUAACACCCAAAGCCGGUGGGGUAACCUUUUGGAGCCAGCCGUCUAAGGUGGGACAGAUGAUUGGGGGUGAAGUCGUAACAAGGUAUC
RNAcentral lists this ribosomal RNA (202 nucleotides) under uncultured bacterium. Its description in RNAcentral is "partial 16S ribosomal RNA". It matches the Rfam family "Bacterial small subunit ribosomal RNA", at positions 1300 to 1500 of the family's 1533-position model. The record is from RNAcentral.